RNAcentral lists this ribosomal RNA (2462 nucleotides) under Escherichia coli. RNAcentral's name for it is "partial 23S ribosomal RNA". It matches the Rfam family "Bacterial large subunit ribosomal RNA", at positions 474 to 2915 of the family's 2925-position model. The record is from RNAcentral. Lineage: Bacteria; Pseudomonadati; Pseudomonadota; Gammaproteobacteria; Enterobacterales; Enterobacteriaceae.
UCCUGACUGACCGAUAGUGAACCAGUACCGUGAGGGAAAGGCGAAAAGAACCCCGGCGAGGGGAGUGAAAAAGAACCUGAAACCGUGUACGUACAAGCAGUGGGAGCACGCUUAGGCGUGUGACUGCGUACCUUUUGUAUAAUGGGUCAGCGACUUAUAUUCUGUAGCAAGGUUAACCGAAUAGGGGAGCCGAAGGGAAACCGAGUCUUAACUGGGCGUUAAGUUGCAGGGUAUAGACCCGAAACCCGGUGAUCUAGCCAUGGGCAGGUUGAAGGUUGGGUAACACUAACUGGAGGACCGAACCGACUAAUGUUGAAAAAUUAGCGGAUGACUUGUGGCUGGGGGUGAAAGGCCAAUCAAACCGGGAGAUAGCUGGUUCUCCCCGAAAGCUAUUUAGGUAGCGCCUCGUGAAUUCAUCUCCGGGGGUAGAGCACUGUUUCGGCAAGGGGGUCAUCCCGACUUACCAACCCGAUGCAAACUGCGAAUACCGGAGAAUGUUAUCACGGGAGACACACGGCGGGUGCUAACGUCCGUCGUGAAGAGGGAAACAACCCAGACCGCCAGCUAAGGUCCCAAAGUCAUGGUUAAGUGGGAAACGAUGUGGGAAGGCCCAGACAGCCAGGAUGUUGGCUUAGAAGCAGCCAUCAUUUAAAGAAAGCGUAAUAGCUCACUGGUCGAGUCGGCCUGCGCGGAAGAUGUAACGGGGCUAAACCAUGCACCGAAGCUGCGGCAGCGACGCUGAUGCGUUGUUGGGUAGGGGAGCGUUCUGUAAGCCUGUGAAGGUGUGCUGUGAGGCAUGCUGGAGGUAUCAGAAGUGCGAAUGCUGACAUAAGUAACGAUAAAGCGGGUGAAAAGCCCGCUCGCCGGAAGACCAAGGGUUCCUGUCCAACGUUAAUCGGGGCAGGGUGAGUCGACCCCUAAGGCGAGGCCGAAAGGCGUAGUCGAUGGGAAACAGGUUAAUAUUCCUGUACUUGGUGUUACUGCGAAGGGGGGACGGAGAAGGCUAUGUUGGCCGGGCGACGGUUGUCCCGGUUUAAGCGUGUAGGCUGGUUUUCCAGGCAAAUCCGGAAAAUCAAGGCUGAGGCGUGAUGACGAGGCACUACGGUGCUGAAGCAACAAAUGCCCUGCUUCCAGGAAAAGCCUCUAAGCAUCAGGUAACAUCAAAUCGUACCCCAAACCGACACAGGUGGUCAGGUAGAGAAUACCAAGGCGCUUGAGAGAACUCGGGUGAAGGAACUAGGCAAAAUGGUGCCGUAACUUCGGGAGAAGGCACGCUGAUAUGUAGGUGAAGCGACUUGCUCGUGGAGCUGAAAUCAGUCGAAGAUACCAGCUGGCUGCAACUGUUUAUUAAAAACACAGCACUGUGCAAACACGAAAGUGGACGUAUACGGUGUGACGCCUGCCCGGUGCCGGAAGGUUAAUUGAUGGGGUCAGCGCAAGCGAAGCUCUUGAUCGAAGCCCCGGUAAACGGCGGCCGUAACUAUAACGGUCCUAAGGUAGCGAAAUUCCUUGUCGGGUAAGUUCCGACCUGCACGAAUGGCGUAAUGAUGGCCAGGCUGUCUCCACCCGAGACUCAGUGAAAUUGAACUCGCUGUGAAGAUGCAGUGUACCCGCGGCAAGACGGAAAGACCCCGUGAACCUUUACUAUAGCUUGACACUGAACAUUGAGCCUUGAUGUGUAGGAUAGGUGGGAGGCUUUGAAGUGUGGACGCCAGUCUGCAUGGAGCCGGCCUUGAAAUACCACCCUUUAAUGUUUGAUGUUCUAACGUUGACCCGUGAUCCGGGUUGCGGACAGUGUCUGGUGGGUAGUUUGACUGGGGCGGUCUCCUCCUAAAGAGUAACGGAGGAGCACGAAGGUUGGCUAAUCCUGGUCGGACAUCAGGAGGUUAGUGCAAUGGCAUAAGCCAGCUUGACUGCGAGCGUGACGGCGCGAGCAGGUGCGAAAGCAGGUCAUAGUGAUCCGGUGGUUCUGAAUGGAAGGGCCAUCGCUCAACGGAUAAAAGGUACUCCGGGGAUAACAGGCUGAUACCGCCCAAGAGUUCAUAUCGACGGCGGUGUUUGGCACCUCGAUGUCGGCUCAUCACAUCCUGGGGCUGAAGUAGGUCCCAAGGGUAUGGCUGUUCGCCAUUUAAAGUGGUACGCGAGCUGGGUUUAGAACGUCGUGAGACAGUUCGGUCCCUAUCUGCCGUGGGCGCUGGAGAACUGAGGGGGGCUGCUCCUAGUACGAGAGGACCGGAGUGGACGCAUCACUGGUGUUCGGGUUGUCAUGCCAAUGGCACUGCCCGGUAGCUAAAUGCGGAAGAGAUAAGUGCUGAAAGCAUCUAAGCACGAAACUUGCCCCGAGAUGAGUUCUCCCUGACUCCUUGAGAGUCCUGAAGGAACGUUGAAGACGACGACGUUGAUAGGCCGGGUGUGUAAGCGCAGCGAUGCGUUGAGCUAACCGGUACUAAUGAACCGUGAGG